RNAcentral lists this ribosomal RNA (462 nucleotides) under uncultured bacterium. RNAcentral's name for it is "partial 16S ribosomal RNA". It matches the Rfam family "Bacterial small subunit ribosomal RNA", at positions 338 to 795 of the family's 1533-position model. The record is from RNAcentral.
CCUACGGGCGGCAGCAGUGAGGAAUAUUGGUCAAUGGGCGCAAGCCUGAACCAGCCAAGUCGCGUGAGGGAAGACGGCCCUACGGGUUGUAAACCUCUUUUGCCGGGGAGCAAGCCUGAGCACGUUUGCCCAGGCGGAGAGUACCCGGAGAAAAAGCAUCGGCUAACUCCGUGCCAGCAGCCGCGGUAAUACGGAGGAUGCGAGCGUUAUCCGGAUUGAUUGGGUUUAAAGGGUGCGUAGGCUGUGAGGUAAGUCAGCGGUGAAAUGCCCCCGCUCAACGGGGUGAAGUGCCAUUGAUACUGCCUUGCUGGAAUGCGGAUGCCGUGGGAGGAAUGUGUGGUGUAGCGGUGAAAUGCAUAGAUAUCACACAGAACACCGAUUGCGAAGGCAUCUCACGAAUCCGCGAUUGACGCUGAUGCACGAAAGCGUGGGUAUCAAACAGGAUUAGAUACCCCAGUAGUC